AAUUGAUUUUUCCUUGAAAUAAGAUCUCUCUCAUAUAUGCUACCUGACCUUAAACAAGUCUGCAUGUAAUUCUCUUAAGAUCUGUGUCUAUGAAAAUAGGGCAUUAAACAUCAUUCACUGUUUUUAUCUGCUCAUUCCUUUCACAGAUGCCUCCAUGGGGUACACAUUUGUUCAAAGAUAGCUCAUCUGGUUGAAAGCACAGUUGGCCUGUUUUACAGGAGGAAAACUAAAGUAUGAAUAAUCCAUUGCUUCUUAACAGAAGGGGCAAGAACCACCAACCUUAGGAGAUGCAACUUCUGCGGAACCUACCAGAGCAGUUGAUGAUGGCAUGCAAGGGCUCCAUCAGCAUCCCCAGCAGUAAAGCCUGCAGAUGAUGGAGCUUUGCCUUGGCCUCUGUGGACUGCAACCAGUAACAAGUGACAGCAAUGGGCAACUUCAGCAAAGCAGGGAUGGACUCCAGGACAACGUGAUUGACCUUCAGGGCUUCUAACAGAAGUAUCUGCCGCCUAGCCAGGGGGAGCUGAAAACAUUAAAUAUUCUGGAAAUUA
Molecule: long non-coding RNA, 548 nt
Organism: Phodopus roborovskii (desert hamster)
Lineage: Eukaryota; Metazoa; Chordata; Mammalia; Rodentia; Cricetidae
Exons: 2
Source: RefSeq, a predicted model, not a curated record